CGCAGUUAACAGUAACAAAAAUCUCUACAUAUACCAUAUAUCUAUAUUUUUUUAUAACUAUCAGAACCGCACCGCACUUAAACCGUUUGUUCCGUACCGCUCAACCCGAAGUCACCAUUCGAAGCCUAAAUUUAACAUUCAAAAGCCAAAGGGGGCGUAUUCCUCAUAUUGUUUUGUUUAUUAUUAAACUAACAUCAGCAUUAUUACAUUUUUACCAAAUACAUUUUUGUGAUAAUUAAAUUCCAACUAAGUCAUAUAGUACAUUUUUGUGAUAAUUACAUUCCAACUAAGUCAUAUAGUUUUGUUUGUUCUACUAUGACUUAUAAACCGGCGAACCGGCGAACCGUAUAUAUCAAGUGACAACGUCUGUGUGCGAAUAAUUGAUAGAUAAAACACAAGUGAAAAUAAAGUUAUAUUUGACCCGCAUGUCGAUAUUUAAACAUUAAUAAAGCCAAAACAAUAUAAAUUCAAAAGAAACAAUUCGAAGGCAUGAUUAAAUGAGCAGUCCAUUAGUCUUCAACGAUUUUCAUGUCUACAGUCUAGUCCCAUCUCUUUUAUUACACUAUCUUUUUCUUUGUUUGCAUGUACCUACCUACCUUUCCACGUACAAUAAUUUACAUCCAUAAAAACGUUCUAAAAGCUCUAGGUCGCAAAAUAGUAGUAGUAUAGUACGCGGAAACUCAUACGCAACAGGAUCUUCAUUAUACUAUAAAUUUUGUUGGCCACGUACAAAGAACAACAAUAAAACACAAAGACAUGUACAGAUGAAUGAAUCUUUAAAGAGAUAGAUUGAUGAAAUUAUCUUGCCUUCGUCUGCUCUAGAAAUUACCACUGCCUCAUGUCUCUAUUCAAGAAUUUUCUUUAACUAGAAUUGAUUUAGUUUGUUCCCUACAUUACUGUUGAGAUGCAAGCUAGUUAAUAUCUACCGUGAACAGUAGUAGUCCUUUGCCUGCUACUUUGAUAACAAUAAUACAAAUAUAUUACCUUUCUAUUUAUAUGUAUAUAAUAUAUAUUUACAUAGCCAGUCAUGAGCAUAGCAUGGUGAAAUAUUUUCUGUGCCCUCUAUGUUUUAAAGAAUUGGUAUAAACACGUCCUUAUGCCUUUAAAACUGAUUUUUAAUUAAUAUUUACCUUAAAAUAUAUAUAGUCCCUUAAAUUUUAGGAACCGUAUAUAAUCUAGAGUAAAUUUGUAAGAAAAGAUGUUAAAAUUGCAUGCGUUUUAAAGCUCGAAUUCCUAUCAUGAAUCAUGUGUUAAUUACAGAAUAUGGAAUGCGUUGCGAUACUUGGGUAAAUCUGUAGUAAAAUAGUAUCUAAUUAUAUAAAAAAAUGUUGGAGUCUCUCCUGCUGAGGACACGUCAUCAAAUAAGUAAACCACAGCUUGCCACGUGUCCUCCUCACACUACAAAAACUCGAUCUUCGUUUGGGUUGCGGAAGGGCUUUUACACAAGUGAGCUAUCUUAGUAUUGGGCCGGAAAAUCAUCAGACACUUAAGCCCGUUAGACGCCUUCGCUUUGUCGACGUGAAGCCGACUUUAGUUUCUAAGUUUCAUUGUCGUCUCAGAAAGCUGAUUAGGUAUAACAUCAAUGGAGAUUCUCAAAGUUUCAGAGAGAUGAGUCUUCUUCAUUAAUCGUUGCGUCUAUGUUGGUUCGUGUUGUAUCGUAUCGUUCUCGAUUCAUCUCUUUACUGGCGUUACAAGUUCCAUUGAUUCAGCGUCAUUAAUGAGAUCUUAACUCUUCUGAGCCACUGCAACCACGAUCAUUCAAUUAAUGAUUAUUAUCCCUUUCCAAGCGGUGGGUCUCUACCUAUAAAAAGAUAUCAUCCUCACAACUCCAACAGCAUUUGAAGAUGACCAGCAUGGUCUAGAGAUUGGCUUCUCCUCUUUCUGUCCCUCAACAGGUUAUAUUAGUCAGUGGAAAAUUCUGAGUCCAUGUAAUUAAGCUACCGCAAACUACAAUGUUGAAGCUCGCAUAUUGAAUUGUUUGGAAGAGCCUCUUCUAUUCACUUGGUGAUCAUCUUUAAGGAUGUUUUAGCUUCUUUAGUUCUCUGUUUUAGUACUGCAGAUUUCUAGGCUUCUUGUGAUUACUGACAUUGUUUCUUUUUGGUCCAGACACAAUCAAAUCAUCAUUCUACGAGGUCAAGAAGCUGCUCAACUCUAAACAUCUCUUCUUUAAGGAGAGGAGAUGUAUGCUUAUCACAACCGCUGCAGCCAUCUCGACAACUGCAUCAGGUUACGAGUCAGCAUCGUCUGGAGCAGCAUCACUGUUUUACGUGGCGGAGUCAGGAAACUGGAGAGAAUCGCAGGGAGUGAGGAAGAGGAAGAGUCGGAAAUGGCGGAGGGUUCAGAGUCUGAGACAGAGGAGACGAGCAAGAAGCAGAUGAGAGUGGAAGGAGUAUCGGCGGAGGUGAAGAAGAUGAGAGAGGAAGCAAGUGUAGGAUGAUCCGGUGAAGAUCAUGUGUGAGAAUAAGGAGUUGAUGAGGAGGAAGGCAUUGGAGCUGAAGGAGAGGAAAAUUGGGUACGAGUGGAGGCGGUGGAGAUGGAGAAGCAGAGAGUGAGGUGGAUGAGAUAGAGUAGCAAGAAAGAGAAAGCAAAUGGAUAAGGUUAACCGUUAAGCUAGAGAACUUGCGAGGAAGGCUUGAAAUGGAAAGGAUGGUUCUGAUUAUGAGGUGAAGAGAUAUUGAGUUGGCGGAGUUAAAGUCGUUGUGUAAACAUGUUGCAACCGAUUACUAUCGAUAUAAUCAGCAAAGUCAAAACGUAUUUGCAUGAUUGAUUCGAACAGAUUAAGCAUAUUUAUAAUUAUAUUUUCCUGAGUUUGGUGCAGAAUAUUUCAAACAAAAAAUUAGUUAAAAUAUGUAAUAUAACCUAAUAAUUAGUUAAAAUUUAAAAAUAUUAAGAAAAAUUGAGUUUUUAAAAUUAAAUAGAAACGGAGCUACCGUCUAAUAAAUAGAUUGUAGUACUGCAUUAUGAGGAGACGAGCAAGAAGCAUGCUACUCUCCAUUUUAGAUCAAUUAAUAUAAUUAAGUUUUUUGAAUCAAAAAAAUCAAACAAAGAGUAAUUGAAAUUUUAUGAAAACCCACAAAGAUAAAAGAGUUUAUAGUUAAAGCUAAAUGUUUUAAAAUCUACAUAAAUAAAUUAUUAACACAUAAUAUAAUGAAAAUGUAGUGAAAUACAUAACAUAGCCAAAAAUACUUAAUAUAACAAAAUAUAUACAUAAAAAUAAGCUAAAAAUAAAAAUAAUUUACAGAUUAAAAAAUAAAAAAAUUAAUCCAACAACUUAUUGCUUAUUUUACAUUUCAUUAAAUUAAAGUCACCAAAAAUUUUAAAAGAGUGAAUUUAACUAUUUUCGAUCAUUUAGCUCAAGCUGAAGAAACUAUAGGAAAACCACAAAAAGUACAUAAUCAGAAUAUAUAUUUCAAGAAAUAAUUUUGAAAUACUCUCCAUUUCAGAUCAAUUAAUAUAAUUUAGUUUCUUUAAUCAAAAAAUCAAACAAAGAGUAGUUGAAAUUUUAUGAAAACCAACAAAGAUAAAAGAGCUUAUAGUUAAAGAUAAAUGUUUUUAAUUUCUACAUAAAUAAAUUAUUAACACCUAAAAUAAUUAAAUUUAGUGAAAUACAUAACAUAACCAAAAAGACUUAAUAUAACAAAAUAUAUACAUAAAAAUAACCUAAAAAUAAAAAACAAAUUUGCAGACAAAAAAAUAAUAAUAAGAAAUUUAAUCCAACAACUUAUUGCUUAUUUUACAUUUAAAAAGUCACCAAAAUUUUUAAAAGAGUGAAUUUAACUAUUUUCGAUCACUAAACUCAAGCUGAAGAAACUAUAAAAUAUUGAGAGAAAUCCGCGAAAUUACAUAAUCAUAAUAUAUAUUUCAAGAAAUAGUCUUGAAAUACUCUCCAUUUUAGAUCAAUUAAUAUAAUUUAGUUUUUUUAAUCAAAAAAUCAAACAAAGAGUAAUUGAAAUUUUAUGAAAACCCACAAAGAUAAAAGAGUUUAUAGUUAAAGCUAAAUGUUUUCAAAAUCUACAUAAAUAAAUUAUUAACACAUAAAAUAAUUAAAAUUUAGUGAAAUACAUAACAUAGCCAAAAAUACUUAAUAUAACAAAACAUAUACAUAGAAAUAAGCUAAAUAAAAAAAAUUAA
Molecule: long non-coding RNA, 4131 nt
Organism: Brassica rapa (field mustard)
Lineage: Eukaryota; Viridiplantae; Streptophyta; Magnoliopsida; Brassicales; Brassicaceae
Source: RefSeq, a predicted model, not a curated record